AACCAGGUGUCAGAUAUAAAAAUCACUGGGAAAGACCGUCAAUACACUUGUCUGUCCUCAGCGCCACGACAUCAUCCACGUCACCAUGAAGUCGUCACGUGUUCUGUUGGUUGUCUUCCUCGCUGUCUGCCUGAUCAGCGCUGUGUCAGCACAGGACGAAGGCAUUGAGCCGCCAGAUGAUCUGAUAGACGACGAGGACCCUCACCGUGACCACUGUCUCGACCCUGACGAAGAUGAACACGACAUCUUCCAUCCAGGUGUCCCUCACGACGAACACUGUCGUAAACUUGGUCACAUUGACUGAACACCCUGAUGCUGAACAAGACCCCUCUACUGGUGUUAUCUCGACUCUUUCAAAAGAUGUCCCACUAAAUCAAAAUGCAUAAUGUCUUAAGACUCUUGUCUUUAAUGUUUCAAAAAGUUGACAUACUAAAUUUAAAAUCUUUAAUUAAAAAAAUUUGAAUGAGCUUUUCUUUUAAUGGGUCGACAGUUACCAAAUUAAAUCAUUAUCAGUAACUAUACACA
Cherax quadricarinatus is the source of this 525-nucleotide long non-coding RNA. RefSeq lists it as uncharacterized. The record is from RefSeq and is a predicted model, not a curated record. NCBI's taxonomy places the organism in Eukaryota, Metazoa, Arthropoda, Malacostraca, Decapoda, Parastacidae.